UACGUAGGGGCAAGCGUUGUCCGGAAUUACUGGGAGUAAAGGGUGCGCAGGCGGAAGAUUAAGUCGGUGGUGAAAUUUUGCAGCUCAACUGUAAAAGUGCCAUUGAUACUGGUUUUCUUGAGUGUGGAUGAAGUAGGCGGAAUUUGUGGUGUAGCGGUGAAAUGCAUAGAUAUCACGAGGAACUCCGAUUGCGCAGGCAGCUUACUAAACCAUAACUGACGCUCAGGCACGAAGGCGUGGGGAUCAAACAGGAUUAGAUACCCGGGUA
This 268-nucleotide ribosomal RNA is filed under the name uncultured prokaryote. RNAcentral describes it as "partial 16S ribosomal RNA". It matches the Rfam family "Bacterial small subunit ribosomal RNA", at positions 524 to 792 of the family's 1533-position model. The record is from RNAcentral.